CAUGAGAUGGCUGAAGAUUAAAGCGGAAGAUUGUAGUUCUUUUUAUGGGAGGAUUCUCUCUUAUGA
This 66-nucleotide transfer RNA is filed under the name Gononemertes parasita. RNAcentral's name for it is "tRNA-Tyr". The record is from RNAcentral. Lineage: Eukaryota; Metazoa; Nemertea; Enopla; Monostilifera; Prosorhochmidae.